Molecule: long non-coding RNA, 303 nt
Filed under: Physcomitrium patens
Lineage: Eukaryota; Viridiplantae; Streptophyta; Bryopsida; Funariales; Funariaceae
Description: long non-coding RNA (PPAT_LNC002052)
Source: RNAcentral
GUUAUGCUCCAAAGAGUGACAAUAGAUUUGAAAUUCAUACCUUAACUUUGAGUGCUAAUAACUCCUUCAUAAAAACUCUAAAUCAUACAAAAUUUGUAUCUAAAUUAUAUCUAAAAGCCUAAAUUUACUGAUCUUAGCUUCUAAAGUUCGAAUGAAUUCAAAAAAAAAUCCUAAUCCCUAAUAAGGCCCCGAGCAGCCUCCUUGAAGCCCAUUGGACAUGGCCUUCAACUAAUAGGGAUGAAGAUCUACAUUCCGUACCUUCAUCCGACCAUGCCUUGCUUUCAUCCCUCCCAAUAAGCCUCU